RNAcentral lists this ribosomal RNA (1686 nucleotides) under Triticum aestivum (bread wheat). RNAcentral describes it as "partial small subunit ribosomal RNA". Lineage: Eukaryota; Viridiplantae; Streptophyta; Magnoliopsida; Poales; Poaceae. The record is from RNAcentral.
AUGGCCAUCAGCCUGCUCUUCUCUCUUCUGCUCCGCCUCCUCGCCGUGCAAGCGGCUUCACACGGCAGCGUCGGCAACGGCAACGACGACGAUGACAGCGCCCUGAUGACGUCCUGCCUCGCGGCCGCCGGCGUGCGCAACGUCACCACACGCCGCUCGCCCGCGUACGCCGCCGCGCUGGCCUUCUCCGUCCAGAACCUCCGGUUCGCGGCAGCCUGUGCGCACCACGGUCCGGCUGCCGUCGUCGUCCCGGCGUCCCUGGCCGAGCUGCGCGCGGCCGUGCUGUGCGCCCGGGAGGCGAGGCUCGUAGUGCGCCUCCGCAGCGGCGGCCACAGCUACGAAGGCCUCUCCUACACCACGGACGACGCCGGCGGCUUCGUCGUCAUCGACCUCGUGGCGCUGGACCGCGUUCGGGUCGACGCCGGAGCGCGCACGGCGUGGGUACAGUCCGGCGCGACGCUCGGGCAGGUAUACCACGCGGUGGUCGCGUCCAACAAGACCCUGGCGUUCUCUGCAGGGUCAUGCCCCACGGUCGGCUCCGGAGGCCACAUCGCCGGUGGCGGGUUCGGGCUGCUGUCCCGCAAGUACGGGCUCGCGGCGGACAACGUGAUCGACGCCCUGCUGGUCGACGCCGACGGGCGCGUGCUGGACCGCGAUGGCAUGGGCGAGGAGGUCUUCUGGGCGAUCCGCGGCGGCGGUGGCGGCACCUGGGGCGCCGUCUACGCGUGGCGCAUCAAGCUCAGCCCUGUCCCGGAGCGCGUCACCGUGUUCGUUGUCAACCGGCCGGGCACCGUGGAGUCGGUGGCGCGGCUCGUGUCAACAUGGCAGCACGUCGCGCCGUGGCUUCCCGACGAGUUCUACCUUUCGGCGUUCGUCGGAGCCGGCUUGCCGGAGUCUGACCGGACCGGCAUCUCCGUCACCUUUAAAGGGUUCUACCUCGGCCGGAGCCACGAAGCGUUGGAGAUACUCUCCGCACGGUUCCCUGAGAUCGGGCUGUCGGACCUGAACCCGAGAGAGAUGAGCUGGAUCGACUCCGUGGUCUUCUUCUCCGGCCUGCCGAAAGGGAGCACCACGUCGGACCUGACGGACCGGGUGCUCCACGAUAAGAACUACUUCAAGGCCAAGUCGGACUUCGUGCGUCGGCCGACGCCCUUCGGCGAGCUGGAGGGAGCCAUCAGUUUCCUUUCCAAGCAGCCCAAGGCCUACGUCAUCCUGGACCCGUACGGCGGGGCCAUGGACCGGAUCGCGGCCGGCGACCUGCCGUUCCCGCAUCGCAAAGGAAACAUCCACGGGAUCCAGCAUCUCAUAGCCUGGACGGCCGACGACGACGACCACAGGGAGGAGUACAUGGACUGGCUACGCCGGUUCUACGACUUCAUGGGAGCCUACGUGUCCAACGGCCCACGCACCGCCUACAUAAACUACCUAGACCUUGAUCUAGGCACCAACAACAAUCCGUCUCCUGCUCACCCUCAUCCUAUCAUAGGUGACGACGGCAGCCCUUUUUACUCGGAAGUCGAGGCGUCGAGGACGUGGGGCGAGAGGUACUUCCUCAGCAACUACGACCGUCUCGUCCGUGCCAAGACCACCAUCGACCCGGAGAACGUGUUCCGCAAUGCCCAGAGCAUUCCGCCCCUCUUCGUGGGGGCUCUGCAGAUGACCAGGCGUACUGCACAUGACAUCUAG